UACGGAGGGUGCGAGCGUUGUUCGGAAUCACUGGGCGUAAAGGGCGCGCAGGCGGCUUGGUCAGUCAGAUGUGAAAUCCCACGGCUUAACUGUGGACGUGCAUUUGAAACUGCCUGGCUUGAGUACCAGAGGGGAAAGUGGAAUUCCCGGUGUAGAGGUGAAAUUCGUAGAUAUCGGGAGGAAUACCGGUGGCGAAGGCGACUUUCUGGCUGGAUACUGACGCUGAGGCGCGAAAGCGUGGGGAGCAAAC
This 250-nucleotide ribosomal RNA is filed under the name uncultured prokaryote. Its description in RNAcentral is "partial 16S ribosomal RNA". It matches the Rfam family "Bacterial small subunit ribosomal RNA", at positions 524 to 773 of the family's 1533-position model. The record is from RNAcentral.